CAGUAGCCACGGUAAUACGUAGGUGGCAAGCGUUGUCCGGAAUUAUUGGGCGUAAAGGGCUCGCAGGCGGUUUCUUAAGUCUGAUGUGAAAGCCCCCGGCUCAACCGGGGAUGGUCAUUGGAAACUGGGAAACUUGAGUGCAGAAGAGGAGAGUGGAAUUCCACGUGUAGCGGUGAAAUGCGUAGAGAUGUGGAGGAACACCAGUGGCGAAGGCGACUCUCUGGUCUGUAACUGACGCUGAGGAGCGAAAGCGUGGGGAGCGAACAGGAUUAGAUACCCGCGUAGUCCCUGUCUCUUAUAU
This 301-nucleotide ribosomal RNA is filed under the name uncultured bacterium. Its description in RNAcentral is "partial 16S ribosomal RNA". It matches the Rfam family "Bacterial small subunit ribosomal RNA", at positions 509 to 809 of the family's 1533-position model. The record is from RNAcentral.